This 271-nucleotide ribosomal RNA is filed under the name uncultured Staphylococcus sp. Its description in RNAcentral is "partial 16S ribosomal RNA". It matches the Rfam family "Bacterial small subunit ribosomal RNA", at positions 505 to 775 of the family's 1533-position model. The record is from RNAcentral. Lineage: Bacteria; Bacillati; Bacillota; Bacilli; Caryophanales; Staphylococcaceae.
GUGCCAGCAGCCGCGGUAAUACGUAGGUGGCAAGCGUUAUCCGGAAUUAUUGGGCGUAAAGCGCGCGCAGGCGGUUUUUUAAGUCUGAUGUGAAAGCCCACGGCUCAACCGUGGAGGGUCAUUGGAAACUGGAAAACUUGAGUGCAGAAGAGGAAAGUGGAAUUCCAUGUGUAGCGGUGAAAUGCGCAGAGAUAUGGAGGAACACCAGUGGCGAAGGCGACUUUCUGGUCUGUAACUGACGCUGAUGUGCGAAAGCGUGGGGAUCAAACAG